Molecule: long non-coding RNA, 6239 nt
Filed under: Sus scrofa (pig)
Lineage: Eukaryota; Metazoa; Chordata; Mammalia; Artiodactyla; Suidae
Description: lncRNA (ENSSSCG00065052408.1)
Source: RNAcentral
AAAUCGAAUCCACUCAAAGUGUUAGAAUAAAGAAUCACUCUAAAAGCACCACAUUGUCUUUCUAAACUCCCAAAGAAAUACAGAUUUCUAAAUACGUCUGGCUAAGGAUUUUGACGGAGAGAAGGCUCCGAGAACACGUGGUUGCAGAAAUGAAGGUGUGGGGGGAAACUUUUGCUCUGAUAAAGUUCCAGAUUCAGAUGUUGCCUGGCAUGGACGUUCAAGCGGGCAGCAGAUGCUGGCAGCUGUCCGGAGCUCGGCUGGGCAGUUGAUGGGAGAGCCCCAUGUGGACCCUCCAAUAUGGCAGCCUUGGAGAAGCUGGACAGCUUACAUGGUGGCCGCCGAGCAUCCUGAUGGCAUCAGGCGGAAGCUGCCUGCCCUUCUGAUCUGGCUUGGAAGUCACCCAGCCUCAUUCCUGCCAACUCUCCUGACCAAGAAGUCUCAGAGCCUGCCCAGACUCCAGAGGAGGUGACAGGGCCCAGCCAUCAAUGAGAGGCAAAUCAAAGAAAGCAGGUCUCGUUUUAGAGGCUUCAGUGUUACUUGAAUUUGUACAAGUGUGGACUCGAAAUAAAAAAAGAAGGCCUUUGCAUCACUGCCUUCUCGGCAGCAGGGGCUGCAGCCUCCAGCAAUCCCAGUUCUGUCAUCAGCUGAAGAUGCGAGGCUGGUGAGUGAGUCACCGGGCCUCACAGAGGGACCUUUCCACCCUCGACUGAUGUGGCCACUUCCCUGUGGCCACUGGGACAACUCUCGUGUGUGUCCCGCAGUGACGUGGAUGCCUCCACUGGAGGCUGUAGGGCUGGCAGGAGGGAGCGACCCUCCUCUCCGAGCCCCCGAUGGCAUCAAGCUGGACCCUUUGGGAUGCUCCCUCUGGCCCCGCCCAGUCCCCUUCCUUCCCCCGCCGCCCCCAGCGCCUCCAGACCCCUGCCCGCGGGGAAGUCCAGAAGCCGCCAGCAUCCUCCAUCCUUCUUGCUGGUGCCAGACAAGGGCCCGGGGGAGAGCAGAACCUCAAGGCCGAGGGAAGAUGGUCAUCCUGGCGUUGGGAGGCCAGUGGUCCCUCUGAGACUCCGUAAGGACCGUCGGCAAAACAUCCCCGGAGUUCUAGGUGGUUUCCAUCGCUCCGAACUUAAAACUUAUUUGCUAUUUUCCCAUGUAGAGCAAAUGCCUUGGCUCCCGGCCAGCCUCUGACCAGCAGCUUCUAAUUAUCCACGUGUGGAGGACAAGGGCAGGGCGGAGACCCAGAAGGGUGUGCUGGACCGUGGGGAGCAAGGGCAGGAAGCCCAGAAACUUCCCUCCUCCCCAGGCCACGGGGAAGCUCUGCAUGUGAGGUCGGCCAGUGUGGGGAGGCCUGCACAUUGUCACUGAGGCCUCAGCCGCCCAAUUCCUGUGACCCGAAAGUACAGCCCUUUAGGGCAGGCCCCCCACCCCACCCCAGGAUGGUGCUACCCAGUGCACCAGCCACUGGGAUAAAGGGGCCCUGGAGUUUCCAUGGCCUCGCACAACCGAAGUUCAUUUCUCACUCUGGACGUGGUCCAGGGGUGAGCCAGCAGAGAGCAUCACUCCACAUGCCCAUCCAGGGACCCAGGCCUCUUCCACCUGUGGUUCUGCAUCCCCAGGGGUUCCGGCUUCUUCCCGGGGAUCCUUGCUGUCCCACCAGCAAACAGGGGAGGCAGGGGAGAAGGCAGACUGUCCUUCACCACCGGGCCUAGAACAGCCCACGUCACCUCUCCUUUGGCAGAACAGGACACCCGGUCCCCCUAGAUGUGGGACACCGGGGCAUCCCGGCUGCCUGUGCCCAGCAGGGAGGGCGAGCCCUGCAUUGUGAGCCUAGACCGUGGGCGCCGGGGGACCCGUUAAAUACUGGGGGAGGUCAACAGCAGGCAGCACUCAGCCAGCAGCCCUGCCUGCUGCGAACACGUCCGGAUGAGAGUCUCAAAGAUUCUGGAGGAGACGCUUUCAGCCUUGAGGGCUCAGACUCAGAUUUCGAAGGCGCACAUCGCUGUGCAGUGUAGACUGAGCGGGAAUCCCCUCUUGAGCCCACCAUAUCCAGCAACGACCCUCCCUGUCUGUGAACUCACUUCUCAUCCUGCAGACCUUCCUUCCAAUGCUUAGGCAGCCUCGGGAAACAGUGGGUUCUCACCCUAUUCACAUCUAGAUUACAGGCAAGGACUUUCCAGUUUAAAAAUGCUACACCCAUGUUUGCUAUGCACACUGAGAAAUCUUGACCUUCAACUUCAUGCAAAUCAGGAAAAGCUCUCUUGCGCAGUUAGCAGCCUGCUCAACGGUGCCCAGCAACUCUGUCGUAAAUUCCAUUUCAGUGGAAAGGAAUUGAGGUCAUCAAAUCUGGUGGUUUUGAAAGCCCCACCCACUCACCCAAAUCCACUGGUCCUCAAUUUGAUACUGGGAACCUGAGGUCACAGAGCCCUGUUAUUGGUCAACAUUAGAACAAUGGAUAAGUUUCAAACCUCCAGUUUGGCCAUCUGCACCAGCAGCACCGCCCCCAAUACAACAUACGCCACAUGUGUAAUUUCAAACCUUCUAGUUGCCAUAUUUUUUUAAGUUUAAAAGAGAGGGGGUAUUAAUUUUAAUAAGAUCUUUUCUUUAACCCAGAAUACCCAAAAUAUCAACCUGGAGUGAAUACAAAACAAUAAAGUGUCACGUUUUGCAUCCUUUAUUUCACACGAAGUCUUCAAAGCCUGGUGUCUGUUUUACGCUUAGCAUCUACGAAUCUGAUGUAUGUUCACACUUCUGCAUCUUAAUUUGGAUGGUAAAUUUUCACCGAAAUUACUCCGUCUUUAUGCACAGUUAGUCCCUAAGAUUUAGAGUGGAAAAGGUGGAUUCAUAUAGCAACCCGAUGCAAACAGGCUUCCGUUACCUUCAUCACUGGCUGCAGUAUUGUUUUCAAGUUCAAAUGAACGAAGAGGAGAUAGAGCUGAGAAUGCGUUUCCGGGUCACACAGGCCGCAUCUCCAGCGCUCAGUGGAGACUGUAUCAGACAAAGUAGCCCUGGAACACGGGCCAAAUCUGCAGUGACCCCAGGACCCUUCAUUACGAGGAAAAUCUGUGAGAAUUGCUAUUUCCCCUAUUUUGUACUGGGAAAAUAACAGAGGCUCUGAGACUGCUCAUUACUCUUAUUUUCCUGCGGUCACGCCUCUGGUUUCCCAGGGCUCUUAUCUGACAAACAGCAGCGUUGUGCCGCCCCCCAGGCUCCCACAGUGGCCUGAGUUACCAGCAGGCACCAUCCCAGGUGGCCAUGAGACACCCCAAAUGGGACCCAGGCAUGAGCGCCUGUGGAUGGCAGGCUAGUGGGUGAAACUCACCAUGUGAGUUUCCUGGGGCUGCUGCCCGGCCACCUAACCCUUCUGGGCUCCUCUCCCCUUGAUCGCACCUGCAAAGACCCCAUUUCACGGGGGGUCUUUGCAAAAGGCCACAUUCACAGGCGCUGGAUGUGCGGACUUGAACGUACCUUCUUAGGGGGACUCGAGCGACAACAGAGCUUCACAAUCAUCUGUGCGCUGACCUUCCAACUGCCCCAAGAGGUCAGUGUCCCAGGACCCCCAUUUCACAGACGGGCAAUGGAGCCCCGGCUGUGGGACCCCUGCCCUGCUUGUCGACGGCCUCCUAGGACUCGGAGCUGGUCCUUCCCCAGAGCCCACGUUCUCAGGGGCUUCCUGGGACUCGGGCUCUUCCAGCUCAGAAACUAGGAAGUACCCUUCUGGCAUAGCCGGUUAAGGAUCUGGCAUUGCUGCAGCUGUGACACAGGUCGCAACUGUGGCUCAGAUUAAAUCUCUGGCCUGGGAACUUGCACAUGUUGCAGGUGUGGCUGAAAAAGAGAAGGAAACUAGGACACAUGUUUUGCAAAACGGCUUGCAAAACCCAGGCCGGGCUGCUCAGGUUUCAGUCUCCCCCGUCAAAUGGCACAGGAGGACAAUUCUGGCUGAUUCCCAAGGCUUUCUAACAGAAUUGUCCAGCAUCCUGGAAAAGGUGACUUGAGAUUUCUGUGCCUCCAACUCAGCCCACUGGAGCACGAGAUGGGAAACUGCAGACUCAACAUGCGAGGGUGAAGUCUUCCCCAGGAGCUGGCGCGGGUGGGCGGCCAGGGCUGGCACGGCUGCCUUACUCCUGCUGAGCGGACGCCCUCCCCCGUCUCAGCCCGGGGCACCCACCUGGCCCCUGAGGCUCAGCUCUCAGCAGUGACACGGAGAAUAAGGCGGGCGCUGGGAUUACCCGGGGAGAAGGAGCCGCCGGGCAAGUCCUCCACGCCAGCGCUGGCAGUGGGAGACCUCUGCAACUGGUCCUGCCCUCCUGGCAGACAGAUUGGGGGUGGGGGCCAGAGGACCAGCUGCCCCCCAGAAGCCACAAGUGGGCAAUUCCUGGGUGAGCUGAAGGCUCUCUGCACAUGGCUGUGGGACGGAGGCUCCUCACCCAGAGCCUGCGGCGAGGGGGAAGCUGAGGCUUUGAUCGCAGGCCUUCCUCUGCCACGGGGCCCCUCCAUCUUUCUGCCUCUCCUUUGGGAUCCCUGGACCACAGGACAGCAGACAAGCCCAGCAUUCUCUCUUCGACCUAAUGAAGCUGUGCUACAUUGCACUGCGCUCGUUCCCGGAGAAAUGAGCCCUGCUCCAAUUACUCCCUUAAGAAAAGCCUCUUAGAAAACACAGGCAAACCAGGCUGUCCUGCUGGCCUGGGAGGGGGAGCUCGGAAACCCCAGCGCCGUCUCCAAACAGACCUGGAGAGCAGCCUGUGUGGAGCUGUGGGUGCUCCGGGAGCAGGGGGGCCCUCGGGAGCUUCUGAAGGCAGCACGGCCCUCCCACAGGAUAGGGGGCUCUUGUCUCGCCAACUGGCAGGUGAAAUUGAGCAUUAAGGGAAAAUUGGCAUGGUCAGGGCAGGGUGGCAGGAAACAGAACAGAGGAAGAGAGAGAGAGAGAGCCUUUCACGAGGUGUGGGUUUGGGCAAUUAGUGGUGGAUCGUAGCCUUGCAGGACGUGGUCCGGGAGCGACCAGUCUGGGUUUGGAAAACAGGGUGGGAUUGAUUUUUAGAGGCUGCUCAGAACCCUUCCCCACCCCACCCCGCCCCCGCCCCCGCCCCCUGCGCCUCCAAAGCAGGAGAAAGAGACACCUUACAUCCAUGGGGCUUCAGAAAGUGUAGGGCUGGGCCCCCCAGGAGGCGACUCGUGGUCUGCAGGAGGUUUGGGGGCGUGCUCCUGGGAAGGGGAAGGAGCAGGAGGAGGCAGGCCUGGGCAGCCCUGCUCGCUGGGCUGGGCUACCGUUUCAGGAGAGGCCUCAGCAGUCCCCACAGAGAGCCCCCUUCAGAGCGGUCCUCGCUGGGGCAAGGGGACUGAGCGUUUAAACCCCCUACUGUUGAUCAGCCAUUGGAUGCGAGCUGCCACGCGAUGUGGUAAAUGUUAUUAAAUCGUGCAAAAAAGCAACUCUACGCAUUGGUCUAAGAAUUAGCUUUGAGACGCAUUUACCUAUCAACUUUUAUGAAACAGUGUAUUUUUUAAGCAAGCCUGUUUUCAUAAUUUGGGGAGUUUUUUUUAGGAUAAAGAUUCAGUUGAGGCUGAAAGAUCAGUUCCUUUUAAGCAGAUGCACUUUUUCGGCGCGGAGCCUCCCCUCCGCACCCAGGGUAGGCAUUGCUAAUCGAUCCCAGAGCACAUCGGUCUCCCUCUCAUUCUCGUGAUGUUCUCUCCGCCUGAAGCCCCCUUCCGGUGCCUUGCCCUGGCUAGGGCUCAGUUUAAAUUCUUCUCCGCAACUACCUUCCCGGCCAUGGCCAAGCUGGCCAGCCGUCCGUUCCCCAUGCUUGCCUCAUCGUAUGUGUCUCACACGGCACUGCAUGUAUUCUUUCUCAUCUGUCUCUCCCAUCGGGUGUAAGCAUCACCAUAGCCCAUGUUAACGUCCUGUUGACCCCCCCAGGGCCUGGCACAAAGACUGGCACGUGGUACAGCUCGUGGUGAGCCUUGCCAGAGUGUCCCCAAGAUGCCUUCCACUCUGCCUCUUGGUGAUUUAGACAUAGGGGUUGAGGAGGGGCCGAGGUUCAGGUGUGCAUCCUUGUCACAGAAAUGAGCCCAAGUACGUCAGACCUCAACCAUCAGAGCAUAUUAUCCCUCUGGCCUGAGAGGCUGGUCCAGGAACAGAGGCUUCUGGCUGUGGUGUAGGCUUGGAUCCCGCGUGGCUCUGACUGUGGUGUAGGCUGGCUAGCGCCGAUUGGACCCCUGGCCUGGGAACCUCCAUAUGCCGCAGGUGCAGCCCU